This 26-nucleotide non-coding RNA is filed under the name Drosophila melanogaster (fruit fly). The record is from RNAcentral. Lineage: Eukaryota; Metazoa; Arthropoda; Insecta; Diptera; Drosophilidae.
AGUGCGUGAGUACGGAACAAAAAUAA